This 468-nucleotide ribosomal RNA is filed under the name uncultured bacterium. RNAcentral describes it as "partial 16S ribosomal RNA". It matches the Rfam family "Bacterial small subunit ribosomal RNA", at positions 28 to 507 of the family's 1533-position model. The record is from RNAcentral.
GACGAACGCUGGCGGCGUGCUUAACACAUGCAAGUCGAACGGAAAGGCCCUGCUUUUGUGGGGUGCUCGAGUGGCGAACGGGUGAGUAACACGUGAGUAACCUGCCCUUGACUUUGGGAUAACUUCAGGAAACUGGGGCUAAUACCGGAUAGGAGCUCCUGCUGCAUGGUGGGGGUUGGAAAGAUUCGGCGGUUGGGGAUGGACUCGCGGCUUAUCAGCUUGUUGGUGGGGUAGUGGCUUACCAAGGCUUUGACGGGUAGCCGGCCUGAGAGGGUGACCGGCCACAUUGGGACUGCGAUACGGACCAGACUCCUACGGGAGGCAGCAGUGGGGAAUAUUGCACAAUGGGCGGAAGCCUGAUGCAGCAACGCCGCGUGCGGGAUGACGGCCUUCGGGUUGUGAACCGCUUUCGCCUGUGACGAAGCGUGAGUGACGGUAAUGGGUAAAGAAGCACCGGCUAACUACGUG